Molecule: ribosomal RNA, 425 nt
Filed under: uncultured bacterium
Lineage: Bacteria
Description: partial 16S ribosomal RNA
Rfam family: Bacterial small subunit ribosomal RNA
Source: RNAcentral
GUGGGGAAUCUUGCGCAAUGGGCGAAAGCCUGACGCAGCCAUGCCGCGUGAAUGAUGAAGGUCUUAGGAUUGUAAAAUUCUUUCACCGGGGACGAUAAUGACGGUACCCGGAGAAGAAGCUCCGGCUAACUUCGUGCCAGCAGCCGCGGUAAUACGAAGGGGGCUAGCGUUGCUCGGAAUUACUGGGCGUAAAGGGCGCGUAGGCGGACAGCGUAGUCAGAGGUGAAAGCCCAGGGCUCAACCUUGGAAUUGCCUUGGAUACUGGCUGGCUUGAGUUUGGGAGAGGUGAGUGGAACUCCGAGUGUAGAGGUGAAAUUCGUAGAUAUUCGGAAGAACACCAGUGGCGAAGGCGACUCACUGGCCCAAUACUGACGCUGAGGCGCGAAAGCGUGGGGAGCAAACAGGAUUAGAUACCCGGGUAGUCC